CGGGGAGUGGCUCAGUGGUAGAGCGCUCGCUUGGGGUGCGAGAGGUCCAGGGUUCAAUUCCCUGCUCCCCGA
RNAcentral lists this transfer RNA (72 nucleotides) under Elusimicrobiota bacterium. RNAcentral's name for it is "Elusimicrobia bacterium (hot springs metagenome) tRNA-Pro". It matches the Rfam family "tRNA". Rfam says of the family: Transfer RNA (tRNA) molecules are approximately 80 nucleotides in length. Their secondary structure includes four short double-helical elements and three loops (D, anti-codon, and T loops). Further hydrogen bonds mediate the characteristic L-shaped molecular structure. tRNAs have two regions of fundamental functional importance: the anti-codon, which is responsible for specific mRNA codon recognition, and the 3' end, to which the tRNAs corresponding amino acid is attached (by aminoacyl-tRNA synthetases). tRNAs cope with the degeneracy of the genetic code in two manners: having more than one tRNA (with a specific anti-codon) for a particular amino acid; and 'wobble' base-pairing, i.e. permitting non-standard base-pairing at the 3rd anti-codon position. Lineage: Bacteria; Pseudomonadati; Elusimicrobiota. The record is from RNAcentral.